AGAGUUUGAGUCCUCGGCUCGAGACGAACGCUGGCGGCGUGCCUAACACAUGCAAGUCGAGCGAGGUCCAUUCGGUAGCAAUACCGAUGAAGACCUAGCGGCGAACGGGUGAGUAACACGUGAGAAACCUGCCCCAAAGUCUGGGAUAACCCGGGGAACCCGAGCUAAUACCGGAUACCUCUUUUGAUCGCAUGGUCAGCUGAAGAAAGUUUUUUCGCUUUGGAGGGUCUCGCGGCCUAUCAGUUUGUUGUGGGGGUAACGGCCUACCAAGACAUCGACGGGUAGCUGGUCUGAGAGGACGAUCAGCCACACUGGGACUGAGACACGGCCCAGACUCCUACGGGAGGCAGCAGUGGGGAAUCUUGCGCAAUGGGCGAAAGCCUGACGCAGCAACGCCGCGUGCGGGAUGACGGCCUUCGGGUUGUAAACCGCUUUCAGCAGGGACGAAAUUGACGGUACCUGCAGAAGAAGCCCCGGCCAACUACGUG
RNAcentral lists this ribosomal RNA (488 nucleotides) under uncultured Actinomycetes bacterium. Its description in RNAcentral is "bacterial SSU rRNA". It matches the Rfam family "Bacterial small subunit ribosomal RNA", at positions 8 to 507 of the family's 1533-position model. Lineage: Bacteria; Bacillati; Actinomycetota; Actinomycetes. The record is from RNAcentral.